This 253-nucleotide ribosomal RNA is filed under the name uncultured bacterium. RNAcentral describes it as "partial 16S ribosomal RNA". It matches the Rfam family "Bacterial small subunit ribosomal RNA", at positions 524 to 776 of the family's 1533-position model. The record is from RNAcentral.
UACGAAGGGGGCGAGCGUUGUUCGGAAUUACUGGGCGUAAAGGGCGCGUAGGCGGCCGAUCAAGUCAGAUGUGAAAGUCCUGGGCUUAACCUGGGGACUGCAUUUGAUACUGAUUGGCUCGAAUUCGGGAGAGGAUAGCGGAAUUCCCAGUGUUGAGGUGAAAUUCGUAGAUAUUGGGAAGAACACCGGUGGCGAAGGCGGCUAUCUGGACCGACAUUGACGCUGAGGCGCGAAAGCGUGGGGAGCAAACAGG